This 693-nucleotide ribosomal RNA is filed under the name marine metagenome. RNAcentral's name for it is "bacterial SSU rRNA". It matches the Rfam family "Archaeal small subunit ribosomal RNA", at positions 335 to 1029 of the family's 1478-position model. The record is from RNAcentral.
GCAGGCGCGGAACCUUUACAAUGCACGAAAGUGUGAUAAGGGAAUCCAAAGUGCUUUGCUUUUAGCAAGGCUUUUGCCAAGAGUAAAUAUUUUGGCGAAUAAGUGGUGGGUAAGACUUGUGCCAGCCGCCGCGGUAACACCAGCGCCACAAGUGGCAAUCACUUUUAUUGGGCCUAAAGCGUCCGUAGCCGGUCUAGUAAAUUUCCUGUGAAAUCGUUAGGCUUAACUUAACGGUAUGCAGGAGAGACUACUAGACUUGGGACCGGGAGGCGUCAGAGGUAUUUCUGAGGGAGCGGUAAAAUGCUAUAAUCUCAGAAGGACCCCCUGUGGCGAAGGCGUCUGACGAGAACGGAUCCAACGGUGAGGGACGAAAGCUAGGGGAGCGAACCGGAUUAGAUACCCGAGUAGUCCUAGCUGUAAACACUGCGAACUAGGUGUUGCAUAUUCUUCGGGAAUGUGCAGUAUCGAAGCGAAGGUGCUAAGUUCGCCGCCUGGGAAGUAUGGUUGCAAGACUGAAACUUAAAGGAAUUGGCGGGGGAGCACUACAAGGGGUGCAGCGUGCGGUUUAAUCUAAUUCAACACAGAGAAUCUCACCAGAAGCGAUGGCAGGAUGAAGGUCAGGUUAAAGGCCUUACCUAACAGGCCAAGAGGUAGUGCAUGGCCGUCGUCAGCUCGUGCCGUAAGGUGUCCUGU